This 968-nucleotide long non-coding RNA is filed under the name Anser cygnoides (Swan goose). RNAcentral describes it as "lncRNA (ENSACDG00005000588.1)". Lineage: Eukaryota; Metazoa; Chordata; Aves; Anseriformes; Anatidae. The record is from RNAcentral.
ACCCGCUGGGUGCACAGGACUUGUUCGCAGCUUGCUGGCGCGUGCCGGUUACAGCGUUCAGAGAGCUGACCCGGUGCUGCCUCCUUGACACGAGCAGAGGGAAGCUGGCCUCCAGGACACAGAAGAAGUAAAGGAGAAGAGGUUUGUGUGGCAGGUGAAUGCAGCCGCCGUGCCCGUGCUGGCAGCGUCAAGGCAGUGGGAAGGGAAAGCUUCCCCUCUGUGGCUGUUGUGCCAAGAAGCAUUGUGUCUCCCCACCAGCCGUGCUCUGAAAGGGUCUCUUCCGUUCAGAAGGGGACUUAGCGCAGGGCGGUCCUACUCCACAAACCUUGUGGAAGGAGCAGAAAGAGGAUCCCCUUGCUUUGAUAGAAAUGAGUGAAGUGCGACGUGUCACUGCGGUGAAAGCAGUCCAGGAUCUGCUGUUUGGGCUUCUGAGUCCAGGCAGGAAGAGGAGUUACUGUGCAGCCAGAUGGUUUCGUUUUUUCAGGAAGAUUAAUUACCUAGCAUCAACCGGCCUGGCCCUGGUAUCCGAGAAACAAGUACUUACGGCAACAGGUGGGUCCCUGGGAUCCCCGAGUUUCUGCAGUUUGCAACAGGCCUCUCUGGUAAGCAGAGUGGAGACCGUACUUCCCAGUGCAAUCCGUGCAGCGCUGAUUGCUGCUGCUGUGACCUUCUGCAAGAAAGUACCCAAGCAGGUACCAGCUCAGUCUCUGUCGGAGACGGUUGUGGGCCACGCAGAUGACUGCUGUGGAGCUGCCUGGCUGGUCUACGAGUUUGGGGAGAGGAGUCAGAGAGGUCACCCAUGCUCGUUAUGUUCCUCUAAGUUCCCAGCCAAAUGUGCUGACAGAAGAAAGUGUUCCCAACAGUUCAAACUCUGCCGAGAUCCUCUGUCAAGUCUUGUUCCUGCAGCCUGCACUGUCCACACUAUCGUCAAAGGGGGAAAAGGCGAGUUCUUAGUAUGCGUUUAUUAA